CCGAACCGGCACCUCGCCGGCUUCCAAAAACACCGGUGACCGGAGAAUAACAAGGAGAAGAGGAAAUACCUUGUUCCGGCGGCCAAAACAGCUCCGGCGACCUCUUUUCUUCCGAUCAACCACCACGGAAAUCUCUGAAAAAAAUCCCUCAAAUCCCUUGAUUUACUUCGAAAUUUUUGUUGUAAAUUCCUAAAGGAAGGUUGGAGGAUCUUAUAGUGGAGGUUUUCUACCCUAGCCGGACUCUUUGAGUCCGAUUUUGCCGGAAAUCGUGAAGGAAGAAGACUCCGGCUAGGAGUCUUCCUCCUUCUCUGUUCUGUUUUUUUUUUUUUGUGUGUUGUUGGGCCAUCUGGGCUACAGGCCCAAGUAAACGGGUUGCUACAAUUACAGACCAAGCAAGCCUUUUACUAGACUUGGCAUUUUGUUAAAAACAUCAAUAGCAAGAACAAAUAGCAAUGGGGA
RNAcentral lists this long non-coding RNA (459 nucleotides) under Elaeis guineensis (African oil palm). RNAcentral describes it as "long non-coding RNA (EGUI_LNC035429)". The record is from RNAcentral. Lineage: Eukaryota; Viridiplantae; Streptophyta; Magnoliopsida; Arecales; Arecaceae.